GUAUUUGUCUCUUAGGCACAAUCGGUUAGCACAUUCAGCUGUUAACCGAAAGGUCGGUGGUUCAAGUCCACCCAUGUACU
Molecule: non-coding RNA, 80 nt
Organism: Biomphalaria pfeifferi
Lineage: Eukaryota; Metazoa; Mollusca; Gastropoda; Planorbidae
Source: the annotation of a GenBank genome assembly